RNAcentral lists this transfer RNA (75 nucleotides) under Kolteria novifilia. RNAcentral describes it as "Planctomycetes bacterium Pan216 tRNA-His". It matches the Rfam family "tRNA". Rfam says of the family: Transfer RNA (tRNA) molecules are approximately 80 nucleotides in length. Lineage: Bacteria; Pseudomonadati; Planctomycetota; Planctomycetia; Kolteriales; Kolteriaceae. The record is from RNAcentral.
GUGGAUGUAGCUCAACUGGUUAGAGCACCAGAUUGUGGUUCUGGGGGUUGGGGGUUCAAGUCCCCUCAUCCACCC